Dreissena polymorpha is the source of this 1052-nucleotide long non-coding RNA. RefSeq lists it as uncharacterized. The record is from RefSeq and is a predicted model, not a curated record. Lineage: Eukaryota; Metazoa; Mollusca; Bivalvia; Myida; Dreissenidae. The transcript is spliced from 3 exons.
UUUGCUUGAAAAACAUGGCUACCAAGGGGGGGGGGCAUUUUUAUGUCCCCCACUAUAGUAGUGGGGGACAUAUUGUUUUUGCCCUGUCUGUUGGUCUUGUCUGUUGGUCUGUCUGUUUGCGCCAACUUUAACAUUUUGCAAUAACUUUUGCUAUAUUGAAGAUAGCAACUUCAUAUUUGGCAUGCAUGUGUAUCUCAUGAAGCUGCACAUUUUGAGUGGUGAAAGGUCAAGGUCAAGGUAAUCCUUCAAGGUCAGAGGUCAAAUAUAUGUGGCCAAAAUCGCUCAUUUUAUGAAUACUUUUGCAAUAUUGAAGAUAGCAACUUGAUAUUUGGCAUGCAUGUGUAUCUCAUGGAGCUGCACAUUUUGAGUGGUGAAAGGUCAAGGUCAUCCUUCAAGGUCAGAGGUCAAUUAUAUGUGGCCAAAAUUGCUCAUUUUAUGAAUACUUUUGCAAUAUUGAAGAUAGCAACUUGAUAUUUGGCAUGCAUGUGCAUCUCAUGGAGCUGCUCAUUUUGAGUGGUGAAAGGUCAAGGUCAAGGUCAUCCUUCAAGGUCAGAGGUCAAAUAUAUGUGGCCCAAAUCGCUUAUUUUAUUAAUACUUUUGCAAUAUUGAAGAUAGCAACUUGAUAUUUGGCAUGCAUGUGUAUCUCAUGGAGCUGCACAUUUUGAGUGGUGAAAGGUCAAGGUCAUCCUUCAAGGUCAGAGGUCAAAUAUAUGGGGCCCAAAUGGCUUAUUUUAUAAAUACUUUUGCAAUAUUGAAGAUAGCAACUUGAUAUUUGGCAUGCAUGUGCAUCUCAUGGAGCUUCACAUUUUGAGUGGUGAAAGGUCAAGGUCAUCCUUUAAGGUCAGAGGUCAAAUAUAUGUGGCCCAAAUCGCUUAUUUUAUGAAUACUUUUGCAAUAUUGAAGAUAGCAACUUGAUAUUUGGCAUGCAUGUGUAUCUCAUGGAGCUGCACAUUUUGAGUGGUGAAAGGUCAAGGUCAUCCUUCACAAUGUCAAGGUCAUCCUACAAGGUCAAACAUCAUAUAGGGGGACAUUGUGUUUCACAAACACAUCUU